Tritrichomonas musculus is the source of this 72-nucleotide non-coding RNA. The record is from the annotation of a GenBank genome assembly. Lineage: Eukaryota; Parabasalia; Tritrichomonadida; Tritrichomonadidae.
UCUCUUGUAGUAUACAGGUUAGCACACGGGUCUGAUAAGCCCGGAGAGGAGGUUCGAUUCCUCCCAAGAGAA